Molecule: long non-coding RNA, 1404 nt
Organism: Larimichthys crocea (large yellow croaker)
Lineage: Eukaryota; Metazoa; Chordata; Actinopteri; Sciaenidae
Exons: 4
Source: RefSeq, a predicted model, not a curated record
GUCGAAGAAGGUAGCUCAUUUGCCAUUUGUCAUUCAAAUACAAUGAUUAAUUUUAGAAGGGUGCAAGGGCUGCACUGCUGCUUAGCCACACCCCUCAUCAGCUGAACUGCUUCCACCUGCUGCUCUCACCUGCUCACAAUCUCCAAUCAAGCCAGUAUAUAUGCAGCUUCAGCAGUCUCACUCUUUGCUGGAUUGUCUUUGCUCCCAUGCCUGACUCUCCAGCACUUGUUCCUGGACUGCUUACCUGCUAUUGACCCAACUUGCCUCUGACCUUUGCUACACGUCUCUGCCCGGUAAAUCCACCAGCCUUCCGUCCCUGACUCCGAGCAUUGCCUGCCUGUGGCUGGGUGGCAUUCAGCCUGUUCCUGCUCUGAGAGGAGACCCACCUUGCCCGUUCUACUUUCGCUUACUCUGUUUCAAGGUCCGGAUCCUCACCCAGUCCUCAUCUGAACCAUAGUCCAGCCAGAGUUUCACCAGCAGUCAAAGUCGACAGAGGCAGCCGGAGACUCUGCAAGAGCCAACGGCAACUAGACAUUAAAAGCAAUCCCCUGGAGAAACCGACCUUUCAGAGGAAAAUAAGAACAUGACAUGAGGAGGUCUCCAGAGACUGAUGUGUGGAGAGAGGCAGCGAGGACGUUUCAGACUGAGAUGGCUUUCAUAAAAAAGGUUCAAUUAACAGCUUCCUGCUGCCAGCACUGCGCCAGCUGUCCAACAAGUUGAAGAAGUCGCAGUCAACUCCCAAAGUGCAUGGAUGCCUAAAUAUAGACGACACAUUAUGGAGAUGACACCAGAAACUCUGAGAUGAUUGCUGUAGUUAUGUUCCUGGUCAACAGAGGGAAACAUGUAAUAAAAUGACCAUGGUAAUUUGAUUUGGACUCCAGUGAUGCCUGCUUAACAGCAACCACUGUGAUGAAAAUUACUCCCCCGCAUCUGUGAAGUCAGGAAAGGGUUGGAUAAAGUGUGUUUACGUCAAGCCACUGGAAGAUUUAAUCUUUCCUCAUAUAAAGAGCUGUCUCUCAAACUCAGUUGCUCUGUUGUUGAUGCCAUCGUUUUAAAUGUAACUGCUCUGUUCUGUUAACUGUGCAUCAAAUUUGGCAAUGUUUAAACACAGUGGAAUUUUAUCCCUUGAAUAGGGCCCAUUAAGCAGAGACGCCGCACUCACAUUAUCAAAGCGUAUAGCUCAGACCGUGUCUCGGUUUUCUGCUAAAUAUGCUGUUUGCACAUACAGAUCUAAUAAUUAUCAAGCUGCCUUCGAUUACAAGCACGUACCGUAUGACUGAGGUUGAUGGUGCUCAAACAUCGGAUCAGUAUCAGUGCGGAUCGCGACCUCGUGGAGUGGAUUGGGUUUCAGCCAUAACGUGACUAAACCACAUUAAAUACACUUUAUCAAUCUCAUUAUAAAAC